AUUGAACGCUGGCGGCAUGCCUUACACAUGCAAGUCGAACGGCAGCACGGGAGCAAUCCUGGUGGCGAGUGGCGAACGGGUGAGUAAAGUAUCGGAACGUGCCCAGUCGUGGGGGAUAACGUAGCGAAAGUUACGCUAAUACCGCAUACGAUCUAUGGAUGAAAGCGGGGGAUCGCAAGACCUCGCGCGAUUGGAGCGGCCGAUAUCAGAUUAGGUAGUUGGUGGGGUAAAGGCCCACCAAGCCGACGAUCUGUAGCUGGUCUGAGAGGACGACCAGCCACACUGGGACUGAGACACGGCCCAGACUCCUACGGGAGGCAGCAGUGGGGAAUUUUGGACAAUGGGCGAAAGCCUGAUCCAGCCAUGCCGCGUGCAGGAUGAAGGCCUUCGGGUUGUAAACUGCUUUUGUACGGAACGAAAAGGACUGCCCUAAUACGGUGGUCCCAUGACGGUACCGUAAGAAUAAGCACCGGCUAACUACGUGCCAGCAGCCGCCGCGG
Molecule: ribosomal RNA, 500 nt
Filed under: uncultured bacterium
Lineage: Bacteria
Description: partial 16S ribosomal RNA
Rfam family: Bacterial small subunit ribosomal RNA
Source: RNAcentral